This 74-nucleotide transfer RNA is filed under the name Mycoplasma sp. Its description in RNAcentral is "tRNA-Leu". It matches the Rfam family "tRNA". From Rfam's summary of the family: Transfer RNA (tRNA) molecules are approximately 80 nucleotides in length. Lineage: Bacteria; Bacillati; Mycoplasmatota; Mollicutes; Mycoplasmatales; Mycoplasmataceae. RNAcentral also lists the same sequence under 1 other name. The record is from RNAcentral.
GCCACAAUAGCUUAAAUGGGAAAGCACCCCGUUAAGGAUGGGGGAAUAUGUCGGUUCGAGCCUGGCUUGUGGUG